GGCGGCGCCUGGAAGGGGAACUUGA
This 25-nucleotide non-coding RNA is filed under the name Cricetulus griseus (Chinese hamster). Lineage: Eukaryota; Metazoa; Chordata; Mammalia; Rodentia; Cricetidae. The record is from RNAcentral.